RNAcentral lists this ribosomal RNA (500 nucleotides) under uncultured bacterium. Its description in RNAcentral is "bacterial SSU rRNA". It matches the Rfam family "Bacterial small subunit ribosomal RNA", at positions 29 to 526 of the family's 1533-position model. The record is from RNAcentral.
AAUAAACGCUGGCGGUGUACUUAACACAUGCAAGUCGAGCGAGAGGACUCCUUCGGGAGUUAGUAAAGCGGCGGACGGGUGCGUAACACGUGAGAAUCUGCCCUUCAGUGAGGAAUACCCUUGAGAAAUUGAGGUUAAUACUGCAUACGUCCCUCCGGGGAGAAAGAUGGCAUUUAUGCUGUCGCUGAAGGAUGAGCUUGCGGACUAUUAGCUAGUUGGUGGGGUAAAGGCCUACCAAGGCUUUGAUGGUUAGCCGGCCUGAGAGGGUGUACGGCCACAUUGGGACUGAGAUACGGCCCAAACUCCUACGGGAGGCAGCAGUGAGGAAUAUUGCGCAAUGGGCGAAAGCCUGACGCAGUGACACCGCGUGGAGGAUGAAGGUCUUCGGAUUGUAAACUUCUGUUAAGUGGGAAGAAAGGCCUCUCUCUAAUACAGAGAGGAUAUGACGGUACCAUUAGAGAAAGCACCGGCUAACUUCGUGCCAGCAGCCGCGGUAAUAC